RNAcentral lists this transfer RNA (77 nucleotides) under Methanomassiliicoccales archaeon. RNAcentral describes it as "tRNA-Ala". It matches the Rfam family "tRNA". From Rfam's summary of the family: Transfer RNA (tRNA) molecules are approximately 80 nucleotides in length. Their secondary structure includes four short double-helical elements and three loops (D, anti-codon, and T loops). Further hydrogen bonds mediate the characteristic L-shaped molecular structure. tRNAs have two regions of fundamental functional importance: the anti-codon, which is responsible for specific mRNA codon recognition, and the 3' end, to which the tRNAs corresponding amino acid is attached (by aminoacyl-tRNA synthetases). tRNAs cope with the degeneracy of the genetic code in two manners: having more than one tRNA (with a specific anti-codon) for a particular amino acid; and 'wobble' base-pairing, i.e. permitting non-standard base-pairing at the 3rd anti-codon position. Lineage: Archaea; Methanobacteriati; Thermoplasmatota; Thermoplasmata; Methanomassiliicoccales. The record is from RNAcentral.
GGGCCGGUAAAUCAGCCCGGAAGAUUGCCUGCUUUGCAAGCAGGAAGUCCGGGGUUCAAAUCCCCGCCGGUCCACCA